GUGCUCGCUUUGGCAGCACACAUACUAAAAUUGGAACAAUACAGAUAAGAUUAGCAUGGCCCCUGUGCAAGGAUGACACGCAAAUUCGUGAAGCGUUUCAUAUAAAA
RNAcentral lists this small nuclear RNA (107 nucleotides) under Propithecus coquereli (Coquerel's sifaka). Lineage: Eukaryota; Metazoa; Chordata; Mammalia; Primates; Indriidae. The record is from RNAcentral.